GUGAACGCUGGCGGUAGGCCUAACACAUGCAAGUCGAACGGCAGCACAGUAAGAGCUUGCUCUUACGGGUGGCGAGUGGCGGACGGGUGAGGAAUACAUCGGAAUCUACUUUUUCGUGGGGGAUAACGUAGGGAAACUUACGCUAAUACCGCAUACGACCUACGGGUGAAAGCAGGGGAUCUUCGGACCUUGCGCGAUUGAAUGAGCCGAUGUCGGAUUAGCUAGUUGGCGGGGUAAAGGCCCACCAAGGCGACGAUCCGUAGCUGGUCUGAGAGGAUGAACAGCCACACUGGAACUGAGACACGGUCCAGACUCCUACGGGAGGCAGCAGUGGGGAAUAUUGGACAAUGGGCGCAAGCCUGAUCCAGCCAUACCGCGUGGGUGAAGAAGGCCUUCGGGUUGUAAAGCCCUUUUGUUGGGAAAGAAAAGCAGCAGGUUAAUACCCCGCUGUUCUGACGGUACCCAAAGAAUAAGCACCGGCUAACUUCGU
This 490-nucleotide ribosomal RNA is filed under the name uncultured bacterium. RNAcentral's name for it is "partial 16S ribosomal RNA". It matches the Rfam family "Bacterial small subunit ribosomal RNA", at positions 29 to 506 of the family's 1533-position model. The record is from RNAcentral.